UCAAAUCUCUAUCCAAUCAUUUGUAAAUAUAUAAAGCGUACAAUAUAAGCAUUAUGAUAAGCAAUGAGUACAAUAUAUACAACGAAUAAAUGGAAAAACAUCAUAUAUAUAUAUAUAUAUAUAUAUAUAUAUAUAUAUAUAUAUAUAUUUGUGAAAUACAUCAAGUUUUAUAUAAACAUCAACAUCAUCUCUAUGAUACAUAUGAAAAUGAAAAUAAAAAGUCUAGGAUAAUGGGGGCACAGACGCCCAACAACUAACAAGAGGCCUAUCAAAUAAACUCUACGCUAUCCAUAAAGAUACUGGAGUCAUCAAACUAGUCAACCCAAGCCAGGUCCUCCUGAGUAGGCAUAUCCAGCAUAUCUAGGCGGUAUAAUAUGGGAUCUCCCCCAUCAACAAAGCCACCAUUGCCAGAUGGACCAGCCUCAAACCCAGAGGGAUCAAAAGUAUCAGCCUUGGAUGGAUCCCCGCCCAAAUGGCGAAUGAAGAGGGACAUCCGAUCAACCCACUGUGUCAAGUCCGCGAUAUGAGACAAAUGAGUCAGCUCCCGAACACAAGCCAUCCAGUCAGUCAUCAUCACUGACCCAAGAACCAUGUCCCUUAAGAUAUGGGUAGCACUGGUCUAAGCGCUGAUAGUGCGGGGCACCCACCUGAGAGAAAAAGCAGCUGAAGUGUUGGGGUCAUCUGACAAAAGAAACCCAUCAUAACCCGAUAGAGGGAUCUUUGAGAGCGGCUGAGCUAGAGGCCAAAAUCGCUGAGUCGGGGGAAGGAAAGGAAUGCGGAUCUCUCCUAAAACACAUUUGAAGGAACGCUCCCCAAGAUAGAGCUCCCAGCCUCAAUUAAACAGCAGAGGAACCUGGUGUGUGGAUAAAGCAUAUUUGGGCCCUGUUGGGAAACCUUCCUCAAAUCCC
This 908-nucleotide long non-coding RNA is filed under the name Panax ginseng (ginseng). RNAcentral describes it as "long non-coding RNA (PGIN_LNC006570)". Lineage: Eukaryota; Viridiplantae; Streptophyta; Magnoliopsida; Apiales; Araliaceae. The record is from RNAcentral.